Wasmannia auropunctata (little fire ant) is the source of this 391-nucleotide long non-coding RNA. RefSeq lists it as uncharacterized. The record is from RefSeq and is a predicted model, not a curated record. The transcript has 3 exons. NCBI's taxonomy places the organism in Eukaryota, Metazoa, Arthropoda, Insecta, Hymenoptera, Formicidae.
CAGUAUCGCUAACUUCAUCCUGAGAGGAGGAGGCCUGAGAGAGGCAUCGGGCAUCGCCGUCAAAAACCUUGAGUAUCGCCUACCCAAUCCUGAGAGGAGGAGAUGGUCUGGGAGAAACAUUGGGCAUCGGCGGAGCAACCUUGAGUAUCGUCGUAGCUACAUAGCAGAAUAACUCCGCCCGUUGCGCAUCGAACCCGUGAGUUAAAAAAAUUUUUUUAUUGAGGUAACGAAUCUACGAUUAAUUAUGUUGAAUGUAGAGAAAAUGUCUCAGUACAUGUCGAAUAACGACAAUAAAUUAUUUUACAAAGUAAUUAAAUCUCGUAGAUUCGUUGCCUUAAAAUGGAUGGAUUAAAUUUAAUUACGGCAAAUAAUUAAUCUUGGUAUUGUGACG